UACGGGGGGUGCAAGCGUUGUUCGGAUUUAUUGGGCGUAAAGGGCUCGUAGGCGGUCUGGCGCGUCGGGAGUGAAAACUCAGGGCUUAACCCUGAGCCUGCUUCCGAUACGGGCAGACUAGAGGUAUGCAGGGGAGAGCGGAAUUCCUGGUGUAGCGGUGGAAUGCGCAGAUAUCAGGAGGAACACCGGUGGCGAAGGCGGUUCUCUGGGCAUUACCUGACGCUGAGGAGCGAAAGUGUGGGGAGCGAACAGG
Molecule: ribosomal RNA, 253 nt
Filed under: uncultured bacterium
Lineage: Bacteria
Description: partial 16S ribosomal RNA
Rfam family: Bacterial small subunit ribosomal RNA
Source: RNAcentral